This is a long non-coding RNA of Urocitellus parryii (Arctic ground squirrel), 3486 nucleotides long. NCBI's taxonomy places the organism in Eukaryota, Metazoa, Chordata, Mammalia, Rodentia, Sciuridae. The record is from Ensembl.
AUGAGAGUCGGGGGGGGGGGGGCAGCCURUGUGGGACCCAAUGUCAGCCCCUGCGUGACCUUGAGCAGGACCCAUCACCAUCCUUUGUCCCGUCAUUUCCUCUUCUGGGCAACGGGGACAAUAAGCCACCCCACGCCAUCACACGGCGAGAAGGGUCUUGGCUUCUGGGUGGGCAGGGGACGCUGGACAUGGGGGCCCAGCCCCUGUGGUCCCGACAGAGACCCACAGACCCACACCCCCGCCAGGCCACCUGCUUCUCUCCCAGGUCUGCCACUGUCGGCCUCGGACCUGGGAGGUCAGACAGGUCACCGCCAUCACCUCUUCAGCUGCAGAACGGCGGAAGCCACCGCGAGGUCAGAGAAACACGAAGCUGGGCGCCGGGUGACCCCAGAGUGUGGAGGACACCGGGCGUGUGGGGACAGGAACGGGCACCAGACUGUGGCACGUGGGCCACAGUCCCGCGUCCUGGGCGAGGCCAUGUCCAGGCCUGGGGCCUGUGUGGGCUGCAACCUUGGAAUUUCUCAUAAGCAAGAGCGUGUGACCACCGACACCUGCCUCUGCAGAGCCAGCUCCCGUGGCCACGGGGGUCAGAGGAGGGGCCAUCAGAAGGUGACAGGUGACAGGCACAGGUGACAGGCCCAGGAAAGGUGAAGGGAGGCCUGGCUGGAGAACUGAUUUGGGAGGACUCUGUGGCCAGGUGGGAGUCUGGGCCUGGGGCAGCUGCCCAGAUCUAAGAAGGGCCUCCUCAGCAGAGGCCAGGAGAAGUUGCGGGGGGCCGGGGGGCUCACAGACACACACACAAGUGCACACUCACAAGUACUGAGCACACUCCUGCUCACACAUACAAGGAGGAGAGCAGGCCAGGCCCAGAAGGACGGCUCCGAGGCAGACGCACGAGGUCCAGGCCGAGGCCUGCUUGGUCCCUCUUCGCUGCCCAGGAGAACCCCCUCCAGGCUGCCCAGGGGAGCCGCGGCUGGCCAGGGUGGGCUGGCUGAGUGGAGCGCGCUCCGUGGCCCCUGAGGCUGUCACGGGAAGCAGCACUUGGUUCUCUGGACGCUGGCCUCUGCAGCCCCAGGCGGCCACUCUAGGACACUCAGCCGCCCACACAGUCCCAAGUCCAGCCACUGACCACAGCUGUGUGAGACCCCAAGCCACACAGCCUUGCUCAGCCCUUCCUGACUUCCUGACGUGCAGAAGCUACGAGAACAAGCUGCUUCUUGUAAGUUUUUUUUUUUUUUUUGUGGGUGGGGAGGGUACUGGGGACUGAACUCAGGGGCACUCGACCACUGAGCCCCAUCCCCAGCCCUAUUUUGCAUUUUAUUUAGAGGCAGGGUCUCACUGAGCUGCUUAGGGCCUCACCAUUGCUGAGGCUGGCUUUGAACUUGUGAUCCUCCUGCCUCAGCCUCCCGUGCCACUGGGAUUACAGGAGUGCACCACCGGGCCUGGCUUCUUCUAAGUUUUAAGCUACUAAAUUUGGGCUGGUUUGUUACACAGCAGUAGCUAACGGAUCAGGAUCCACUGCCAAUCCUGUUGGAUCAAUGGUCAAAAUAACCCACCACCAGCACCCAAAACCAGGCCACUGUGGUCUCCUGCCUGGCCUCCCGCCCUGUCCUUGACUCUGCCAUCCAUGCAGCACCACAGCCAGAGGCUCUGCUCAAAGCCCCCAGUGACUCCCUCGGAGCCCAGACAGGGAGGCACGGCCCUGUGCAACCCCACACCCUCCCUCUCCUCCGUCCCCCCACUCCCCUAACUCACUCCACUCCAGCUCUGGGGCUUCGGGCUCCUCCCCAGACUCACCAAGCACACCCCUUCCUCAGAGCCGCCACCCAUGCUGUGCCCACUAGCUGGGGUCUCCCUUCCCACCGGCUCCCACAUUCUGGAAUGUGAGAUGCCACCCAUCAGCAGGCCUCCCCGACUCCUGCCCCUGCCUCCAGUACCCCCAGCCUUCACGUCCUGCUCCUGCUCCUGCUGAGGCUGGUAAAUCCUGCUCGGCCUUUCGCUGCCUGUCUUUCUUGUGUUUCUGCAAGCCCCUGCCAACAGGGACUUUCUAUGGUUUAUCUUCAGUGCCCAGAGCAGGGCCUGGCCUGCCAUGCAGCUGUGAGUGAGUGGAUGGAUGCAUGCAUGACUCAUCUCACCCCUGAUGGUGACAGGGUGACAGGGAGAGCGCUGAGCCUUUCAAGACAGGUUGCUCACAGGAAAAAAAAAAAAAAAAAAAAAAAUCCAAGCCAGGCACCAUGGCGCACACCUGUAAUCCCAGUGAUUCUGGGAGGCUGAGGGAGGAGGAUCGCAGGUUCGAGGCCAGCCUCAGCAACUUGGCAAAACCCCAUCUCAAACUAAAAUUUGAAAAGGGCUGGGAUAAGGGUCCGUGGAGAGCACUCGCCUAUCGUGCACAAGUCCCUGGACUCAGUCCCGAGUACCAAGGGGAACAAUUCCACUAAGAAGUGCACAGAGGACCUGAAUAGACAUCCCUGCCAAGAAGACCUACAAAGGCCAAGAUGCACGUGGAGAAACGUCUGCACCACGAAUCACCAGAGAGACGCAAAUCAAGCCCCCGGAGAGCUCGUGACCCAUCAGUGUGGCUAUCAUCAAAAUCACAAGAAAUAGCAAAUGCCGGGUGAGAACGUGGAGGAAGGGAGAGUCCCAGACCUGUGGCCAGCACCGGCAGGACAGCCCGCAGAGCGGAGCUUCCUCAAAACACAACACCGAGCUCUGCUCCCCUGACCCCGCCACGGGGCCCAGAGCCGGGGACAGGAGUGCAGCAGGUCCGAGGUGUGCACUCCGCGAUGAUCCCUGCAGCGUCCUUCACGGUCCCAAGAAGCGCCCUCGACCCCAGCAUCCAUCGGGGGAUUAGUGGCUAAAGAAAACGUGGCCUGUCCACAGUGGCCUCCCAYGCAGCCGGAAAAGAGGGUGAUUCUGUCAUGUGCAGCAACACGGGUGAGCGGGAGGAAGUGGYGUGUGGGGACGCGGGGACAGGGAGGGAAAGCCACGUGUGCUCACUGAUAGGCAGAAGUUGAGGAAGUGGCAGCAGUGGAGCAGCCCUGAGCAGAGCCAGGGUGGYGGCUGGAGCAGGGAUGGCGGGGUCAGCGCGCAGGCUGGACAGGAGGGUGACCGCAUGCUCUGCAGCGCCCUAGGAUGGCCAGGGCUGAGGUCAUUGAGAGAGUAUUGCAACAUCGUCAGGAGAGGGAUCCUGAGAGUUCCCAGCGCAAAGAAAGGAUCCAUGGUAAAGUGAUUGGCACUACAGUCACCCUGAUCAGCACACAGUGUGUGCAUGUAGUGAGAUACCACGCCGAACCCCAAAAUGCACAAUCAUCAUGUCUCAAUUAAAAAUCAACAUUUAGAGGUGCAGCGGCGCACGCCUGUAAUCCCAGUGGCUUGGGAGACUGAGGCAGGAGGAUCGUGAGUUCAAAGCCAGCCUCAGCAAGGCACUAAGCAACUCAGUGAGACUCCGUCCCUAAAUAAAACACAAAAUAAAGAGGAUGUGGCUCA